This 459-nucleotide ribosomal RNA is filed under the name uncultured bacterium. RNAcentral describes it as "partial 16S ribosomal RNA". It matches the Rfam family "Bacterial small subunit ribosomal RNA", at positions 338 to 795 of the family's 1533-position model. The record is from RNAcentral.
CCUACGGGGGGCAGCAGUGAGGAAUAUUGGUCAAUGGGCGCGAGCCUGAACCAGCCAAGUCGCGUGAGGGAAGACGGUCCUAUGGAUUGUAAACCUCUUUUGUCGGGGAGCAAAAGACGCCACGCGUGGCGUUCCGAGAGUACCCGAAGAAAAAGCAUCGGCUAACUCCGUGCCAGCAGCCGCGGUAAUACGGAGGAUGCGAGCGUUAUCCGGAUUUAUUGGGUUUAAAGGGUGCGCAGGCGGAAGAUCAAGUCAGCGGGAAAAUUGGGAGGCUCAACCUCUUCGAGCCGUUGAAACUGGUUUUCUUGAGUGAGUGAGAAGUAUGCGGAAUGCGUGGUGUAGCGGUGAAAUGCAUAGAUAUCACGAAGAACUCCGAUUGCGAAGGCAGCAUACCGGCGCUCAACUGACGCUCAUGCACGAAAGUGUGGGUAUCGAACAGGAUUAGAUACCCGAGUAGUC